This 74-nucleotide transfer RNA is filed under the name Endomicrobium proavitum. It matches the Rfam family "tRNA". Rfam says of the family: Transfer RNA (tRNA) molecules are approximately 80 nucleotides in length. Their secondary structure includes four short double-helical elements and three loops (D, anti-codon, and T loops). Lineage: Bacteria; Pseudomonadati; Elusimicrobiota; Endomicrobiia; Endomicrobiales; Endomicrobiaceae. The record is from Rfam by way of RNAcentral.
GUCGCCUUGCCCGAGCGGUCUAAGGGGAUGGUCUGCAAAACCGUCUGUCAUUGGUUCAAAUCCAAUAGGCGACU